Molecule: unclassified non-coding RNA, 553 nt
Filed under: Aspergillus amstelodami
Lineage: Eukaryota; Fungi; Ascomycota; Eurotiomycetes; Eurotiales; Aspergillaceae
Description: sequence contains ITS1, 5.8S rRNA gene and ITS2
Rfam family: 5.8S ribosomal RNA (bases 150-303)
Source: RNAcentral
GGGGAUUAGUAGCGCGAGCACUCUGGGUCCACCUCCCAUCCGUGUCUAUCUGUACCCUGUUGCUUCGGCGUGGCCACGGCCCGCCGGAGACUAACAUUUGAACGCUGUCUGAAGUUUGCAGUCUGAGUUUUUAGUUAAACAAUCGUUAAAACUUUCAACAACGGAUCUCUUGGUUCCGGCAUCGAUGAAGAACGCAGCGAAAUGCGAUAAUUAAUGUGAAUUGCAGAAUUCAGUGAAUCAUCGAGUCUUUGAACGCACAUUGCGCCCCCUGGUAUUCCGGGGGGCAUGCCUGUCCGAGCGUCAUUGCUGCCCUCAAGCACGGCUUGUGUGUUGGGCUUCCGUCCCUGGCAACGGGGACGGGCCCAAAAGGCAGUGGCGGCACCAUGUCUGGUCCUCGAGCGUAUGGGGCUUUGUCACCCGCUCCCGUAGGUCCAGCUGGCAGCUAGCCUCGCAACCAAUCUUUUUAACCAGGUUGACCUCGGAUCAGGUAGGGAUACCCGCUGAACUUAAGCAUAUAUAAACCGGGAAGGAAAAGAAACCCCCUAAACUUAUA